This 719-nucleotide long non-coding RNA is filed under the name Phoenix dactylifera (date palm). RNAcentral describes it as "long non-coding RNA (PDAC_LNC015219)". The record is from RNAcentral. Lineage: Eukaryota; Viridiplantae; Streptophyta; Magnoliopsida; Arecales; Arecaceae.
GCUCGUUUCUCGAAUCGAGAGUUAGAAUCGCGCCGGUCAGCCUCUAGUACGACUCGGUACAUCCUGAAUCGUGUAGUUGAGGGUUGUACAACGAUCCUUACUUAACAGCUUUCUAUCCAUGAUCAUACCCAUCUAAACUUGAUAGUGAGACACAAGAUUCACUGUCUUGGUAUCGGACCUCGUAUCAGUGGCACACUAGUACUAUGCCGGUAUGGAUGGUACGAGAUCUUUUCGGCGUACCGAGUGUCGGUAUGCCAUUCGUACUGGAUAUUGGUACCGAAUUGGUAUGGUAUGAUACACCCCGUACUAUACUAACAUACUAUAUCGUACUGAUAAGGUACCAAUGCAGCAAGCCUGGAUUGCAUACUUGUCAAUAUUUAAUGUGUAUAUCAUUCAAAACUCAAUAGUUGCUAUAGGUUUUGUGCUUUCUUAGGUUGACAGGUCUUACAUUCGUCCCUUUUUUGUGUGUUUUUUACUUGUGUUUAUACCUUUGGUUGCUACUUAUAUAUUGAUUACUGAAAUUUAAGCCCCUUCCUUUACUUUUUUCCAAAUUAGAGGAAACCAAGAUGGUAAUCUCUGCAAGAUCUGCAUUAAUUAACUUAUUGUUGUUCUUGUGAAGCAGAGGUCAAAUUCUUGCUCUUCCCUUACACGUGCAAAUUUUGGUAUUUGAUCUAUAUUUAAAAGUUUUAACUCUCUCUCUCUCUCUCUCUCUCUCUCUC